UGCGUAGGCGGGUUUCUAAGUCAGAGGUGAAAGCCUGGAGCUCAACUCCAGAACUGCCUUUGAUACUGGAAGUCUUGAGUAUGGCAGAGGUGAGUGGAACUGCGAGCGUAGAGGUGAAAUUCGUAGAUAUUCGCAAGAACACCAGUGGCGAAGGCGGCUCACUGGGCCAUUACUGACGCUGAGGCACGAAAGCGUGGGGAGCAAACA
RNAcentral lists this ribosomal RNA (207 nucleotides) under uncultured bacterium. RNAcentral's name for it is "partial 16S ribosomal RNA". It matches the Rfam family "Bacterial small subunit ribosomal RNA", at positions 568 to 774 of the family's 1533-position model. The record is from RNAcentral.